GCACCUGCCGAGUUCCGAGCGACCGAUGGAGAUGGCGGCCGCGGCUGUGUGAGGGACGGUGGAGGCCCGGGCCCGAGGACGGGACAGGCCUGCGUGUCCGCAGGAGCCCGGCCGGGUACUGUGCUAAACCUUGGGGAGACGGCGAAGGGGAAAACAUACAGAGUUUGUGCCCUCCCAGAUUUUUCAGUCUUACUUGGUCACUUCACGUAUGUACCUGCGGUUAUAAAUUGAGAUGAGUGCUGUGAAGGAGAAGUCCAUUCUGAUGCUCUGAGUGUCUUACAAGUAUCAAGAACUUAAUAUAUGUGGUUGAAUAAACAAUCAAGGUAAACAGCAUCAAGUAAAAACUUCUGCUUGUUGAUAAGUACUUCAGACAUUCCCCCAGUGGCUAAAGUGGCAUAUGAAUUACGAAGUUGGGUCAUUUGGAAUGAAUGUAAGAGAAUUGCCAAGG
Long non-coding RNA from Mandrillus leucophaeus (drill), 448 nucleotides. RefSeq lists it as uncharacterized. The record is from RefSeq and is a predicted model, not a curated record. The transcript is spliced from 3 exons. NCBI's taxonomy places the organism in Eukaryota, Metazoa, Chordata, Mammalia, Primates, Cercopithecidae.